This 302-nucleotide ribosomal RNA is filed under the name Drosophila persimilis. RNAcentral describes it as "eukaryotic LSU rRNA". The record is from RNAcentral. Lineage: Eukaryota; Metazoa; Arthropoda; Insecta; Diptera; Drosophilidae.
UUGCCCGAUGAACCUGAAUAUCCGUUAUGGAAAAUUCAUCAUUAAAGUUGUAAUAUUUUAACAAUAUUAUAAUAAUAGUGUGCAUUUUUUCCAUAUAAGGACAUUGUAAUCUAUUAGCAUAUAACAAAUUUAUCAUAAAAUAUGACUUAUAGUUUAUUCAAAUUAUUAUGCUUGCAUUUUAACAUAGAAUAAAUGUCAUUAAUUUGAUAAAGUGUUGAUAAAUUAAAAUUAAUACAGUGCGUUAAUUUUUCGAAAUUAUAUAAUGGCAUAAUUAUCAUUGAUUUUUGUGUUUUAUUAUGCAU